RNAcentral lists this ribosomal RNA (253 nucleotides) under uncultured bacterium. RNAcentral's name for it is "partial 16S ribosomal RNA". It matches the Rfam family "Bacterial small subunit ribosomal RNA", at positions 524 to 776 of the family's 1533-position model. The record is from RNAcentral.
UACGUAGGGUGCAAGCGUUGUCCGGAAUUAUUGGGCGUAAAGAGCUCGUAGGCGGUUUGUCAAGUCUGCUGUGAAAACUCGGGGCUUAACUCCGGGCCUGCAGUGGGUACGGGCAGACUAGAGUGCGGUAGGGGAGACUGGAAUUCCUGGUGUAGCGGUGAAAUGCGCAGAUAUCAGGAGGAACACCAAUGGCGAAGGCAGCUCACUGGGACGGUACUGACGCUGAGACGCGAAAGCGUGGGGAGCAAACAGG